Oxyura jamaicensis (ruddy duck) is the source of this 1592-nucleotide long non-coding RNA. RefSeq lists it as uncharacterized. The record is from RefSeq and is a predicted model, not a curated record. The transcript is spliced from 3 exons. Lineage: Eukaryota; Metazoa; Chordata; Aves; Anseriformes; Anatidae.
ACGUCUUUCUCGGUGAGCUUUUCUCCCAAUUCCUUUCCAGCCAGCCUCACAGUCACAUCUCCCAUACUUCCCUGCAUGGUCAUGUUGAACAGCAUCCUGCAUGCUUGAGCCAGCCUUGAUUUGCAGGUCUGCUGCCCAGAACUGUAAGGUCAGACAUGGAGCGAGACUGCAAACCCAGCCAGCCGCCUGUGAGGCUUCCCAGACCAUGCAAAACGCCAGUGCAGUUGUGGGAUUCUAUAGAAAUAGCAAAUGUGAAGCCACUACUUGCCUCUCCUGUAGUUUGAGGAGCUAGAUUUUGGAGCUACUUGCCCAAAAUGACAGCAAUGCUAUAUCUUCCACAAAUCAGUUUCUGCAUCAGACACCAGAGUUUUAUGAACCUAAUAUUUAUUAAGUCAAUGGACUGUAGGACAUCGCUUCUGAAGCAAGGCUGAGACACUCAGGUGUACUGACAACAUCCGUUUCUCAAAACCAACUUAAGCACUUGACCUUAAAGCUUAACACCGUCUGUGGUGGGCAGGAGGAACCCCUGAAGCAUAGCUCUGUUCAGCAGCAUGGGGGGAACAUACCUAGGUCAACAACCUUCUCUCCCUCCUUCCCUCCACCCCUGUGAGCUGUUACAUAGUGUUGUCUAAAUAUCUUGUAUCUGGCUCUGGCUUCCUUCACUGUACAGAAUGUGGUUUCUGGAAAAUGUGCCUUUCAAAGACACUGAGGUGGAUAUCCAUCCAAAUUGCAUGGGUUUUACAUGGCUAUGAAGUCCACAAGCAGAAUUUGUCAAGGAGGACAUGAUCCUAACCCUGUUUGGAAAUGACAAAGGAAACAAAAUAACCAGUUAUUAUCAUAAACACACAAAACCUGUGCCACAGCUGGCAUGCCAACAGACUUCAAUACAUUCAGUGUUGAAUCCUUGUAUAUUGGGCUUGUUCACUUAUUUAUGCCCCAAAUCAAGCUCCUAGCCAUGCAUCUCCCUGCUUGUAGCGUGACUUGGUGUAAUUCUGCUAUACCAAUUUCAGACUUAUUAAGAAAAACUCCAAACAUCGUAUUACUCUGUGUAUUUCAUAUGUACAUGGUAGCAGCUGAUGAAAUCUUCCAGGAAGGAAGGGGAAAUCUGCAGCCUUGUUAACUAACAUUUUUGAAAUGAGAGAGAGAAAAAAUCUUAGCUGGAAGCGUGAAUCUGUAUACUUACCACCAUAACACGGAUCCUUCCCAGUGCCUUUGCAGACACGCAAAGAAGCAGGGCAAAAGCUCUCCUAAAAUAGCUUGGAUUAACUAGUUUGGAGAUUUACCAACCUUGUUAAUUCCAGGGAACUGGUGAGAAAUUUUCCAUAUAAAUUGGAAAUUAUCUGAAUGGAAUGAAAAUGUUGCCAAAAUGUUAGCAAAUUCUUCAUGCCCAGCCUCUGUUUUCCUGUAGCUCUCCUUGGGCCUGACUCACCUCCUCCUGGAAUCACUGGACAUCCUUCUCCUGGAUUUGUUGGAAGCUUCUCUGGUCGUGUACAUUUUACUUUGAAAUUCUGAGAAAUUUAUGUACAAUGCUGUGAGUUGAUGUAGAAGUAAACAUUUAUUGUACAGAGAAUUAAUACUGAAAAGAAAUGUUA